AGUGAACGCUGGCGGUAGGCCUAACACAUGCAAGUCGAACGGCAGCACAGUAAGAGCUUGCUCUUACGGGUGGCGAGUGGCGGACGGGUGAGGAAUACAUCGGAAUCUACUUUUUCGUGGGGGAUAACGUAGGGAAACUUACGCUAAUACCGCAUACGACCUACGGGUGAAAGCAGGGGAUCUUCGGACCUUGCGCGAAUGAAUGAGCCGAUGUCGGAUUAGCUAGUUGGCGGGGUAAAGGCCCACCAAGGCGACGAUCCGUAGCUGGUCUGAGAGGAUGAUCAGCCACACUGGAACUGAGACACGGUCCAGGCUCCUACGGGAGGCAGCAGUGGGGAAUAGUGGGCAAUGGGCGCAAGCCUGGUCCAGCCAUACCGCGUGGGUGAAGAAGGCCUUCGGGUUGUAAAGCCCUUUUGUUGGGAAAGAAAAGCAGCAGGUUAAUACGCCGCUGUUCUGACGGUACCCAAAGAAUAAGCACCGGCUAACUUCGUG
Molecule: ribosomal RNA, 492 nt
Filed under: uncultured bacterium
Lineage: Bacteria
Description: partial 16S ribosomal RNA
Rfam family: Bacterial small subunit ribosomal RNA
Source: RNAcentral